CCUACGGGAGGCAGCAGUGGGGAAUAUUGGUCAAUGGGCGUAAGCCUGAACCAGCCAAGCCGCGUGAGGGAUGAAGGUUCUAUGGAUCGUAAACCUCUUUUAUAAGGGAAUAAGGUGUGGGACGUGUCCUCUUUUGUAUGUACCUUAUGAAUAAGGAUCGGCUAAAUCCGUGCCAGCAGCCGCGGUAAUACGGAGGAGCCGAGCGUUAUCCGGAUUUAUUGGGUUUAAGGGGUGCGUAGGCGGUUGUUUAAGUCAGCGGUGAAAGACUGUGGCUCAACCAUAGAAUUGCCGUUGAAACUGGGGGGCUUGAGUAUGUUUGAGGCAGGCGGAAUGCGUGGUGUAGCGGUGAAAUGCGUAGAUAUCAGGCAGAACCCCGAUUGCGAAGGCAGCCUGCCAAGCCAUGACUGACGCUGAUGCACGAAAGCGUGGGGAUCAAACAGGAGUAGAUACCCGAGUAGUC
Molecule: ribosomal RNA, 460 nt
Filed under: uncultured bacterium
Lineage: Bacteria
Description: partial 16S ribosomal RNA
Rfam family: Bacterial small subunit ribosomal RNA
Source: RNAcentral